GACGAACGCUGGCGGCGUGCUUAACACAUGCAAGUCGAACGGAAAGGCCCUGCUUUUGUGGGGUGCUCGAGUGGCGAACGGGUGAGUAACACGUGAGUAACCUGCCCUUGACUUUGGGAUAACUUCAGGAAACUGGGGCUAAUACCGGAUAGGAGCUCCUGCUGCAUGGUGGGGGUUGGAAAGUUUCGGCGGUUGGGGAUGGACUCGCGGCUUAUCAGCUUGUUGGUGGGGUAGUGGCUUACCAAGGCUUUGACGGGUAGCCGGCCUGAGAGGGUGACCGGGCACAAUGGGACUGAGGUACGGCCCAGACUCCUACGGGGGGCAACGGUGGGGAAUAUUGCACAAUGGGCGGGAGCCUGAUGCAGCAACGCCGCGUGCGGGAUGACGGCCUUCGGGUUGUAAACCGCUUUCGCCUGUGACGAAGCGUGAGUGACGGUAAUGGGUAAAGAAGCACCGGCUAACUACGUG
Molecule: ribosomal RNA, 468 nt
Filed under: uncultured bacterium
Lineage: Bacteria
Description: partial 16S ribosomal RNA
Rfam family: Bacterial small subunit ribosomal RNA
Source: RNAcentral